GACGAACGCUGGCGGCGUGCCUAAUACAUGCAAGUCGAGCGGACCGAUGGGAGCUUGCUCCUUUAGGUUAGCGGCGGACGGGUGAGUAACACGUGGGCAACCUGCCCUGCAGACUGGGAUAACUUCGGGAAACCGGAGCUAAUACCGGAUAACACCGAAAACCGCAUGGUUUUCGGUUGAAAGGCGGCUUUUAGCUGUCACUGCAGGAUGGGCCCGCGGCGCAUUAGCUAGUUGGUGAGGUAACGGCUUACCAAGCCUUCGAUCAGUAGGGGUUCUGAGAGGAAGGUCCCCCACAUUGGAACUGAGACACGGUCCAA
Molecule: ribosomal RNA, 317 nt
Filed under: uncultured bacterium
Lineage: Bacteria
Description: bacterial SSU rRNA
Rfam family: Bacterial small subunit ribosomal RNA
Source: RNAcentral